Molecule: transfer RNA, 72 nt
Filed under: Loxodonta africana (African savanna elephant)
Lineage: Eukaryota; Metazoa; Chordata; Mammalia; Proboscidea; Elephantidae
Rfam family: tRNA
About the family: Transfer RNA (tRNA) molecules are approximately 80 nucleotides in length. Their secondary structure includes four short double-helical elements and three loops (D, anti-codon, and T loops).
Source: Rfam by way of RNAcentral
GCCCUGGUGGCACAACAGUUAAGCACUCGGCUGCUAACUGAAAGGUUGAUGGUUCGAACCCAACCAAUGGCU